CAGUAGCCGCGGGAAUACCGAGGGUGCGAGCGUUAAUCGGAUUUACUGGGCGUAAAGCGUGCGUAGGCGGCUUCUUAAGUCGGAUGUGAAAUCCCUGAGCUUAACUUAGGAAUUGCAUUCGAUACUGGGAAGCUAGAGUAUGGGAGAGGAUGGUAGAAUUCCAGGUGUAGCGGUGAAAUGCGUAGAGAUCUGGAGGAAUACCGAUGGCGAAGGCAGCCAUCUGGCCUAAUACUGACGCUGAGGUACGAAAGCAUGGGGAGCAAACAGGAUUAGAGACCCCGGUAGUCCCUGUCUCUUAUAC
RNAcentral lists this ribosomal RNA (301 nucleotides) under uncultured bacterium. RNAcentral's name for it is "partial 16S ribosomal RNA". It matches the Rfam family "Bacterial small subunit ribosomal RNA", at positions 509 to 807 of the family's 1533-position model. The record is from RNAcentral.